GAGAAUGAUGAGAUUGCCAUCAUACUAUUGGAAGACGAGUCUGAACCCUGAUGCAUUUUAUCAUGCGGCACUGACGA
This is a small nucleolar RNA of Trypanosoma brucei brucei TREU927, 77 nucleotides long. The record is from RefSeq and is a predicted model, not a curated record. Lineage: Eukaryota; Euglenozoa; Kinetoplastea; Trypanosomatida; Trypanosomatidae.